RNAcentral lists this ribosomal RNA (369 nucleotides) under uncultured bacterium. Its description in RNAcentral is "bacterial SSU rRNA". It matches the Rfam family "Bacterial small subunit ribosomal RNA", at positions 527 to 896 of the family's 1533-position model. The record is from RNAcentral.
GUANGGUGCGAGCGUUAAUCGGAAUUACUGGGCGUAAAGCGUGCGCAGGCGGUUCGUUGUGUCGGCGGUGAAAGCCCCGGGCUUAACCUGGGAAUGGCCGUCGAAACUGGCGAACUGGAGUGUGGCAGAGGGGGGUGGAAUUCCGCGUGUAGCAGUGAAAUGCGUAGAGAUGCGGAGGAACACCGAUGGCGAAGGCAGCCCCCUGGGCUGACACUGACGCUCAGGCACGAAAGCGUGGGGAGCAAACAGGAUUAGAUACCCUGGUAGUCCACGCCCUAAACGAUGUCGACUGGGUGUUGGGGAAGCGAUUUCCCAGUACCGUAGCUAACGCGUGAAGUCGACCGCCUGGGGAGUACGGCCGCAAGGUUA